Molecule: long non-coding RNA, 661 nt
Filed under: Mytilus galloprovincialis (Mediterranean mussel)
Lineage: Eukaryota; Metazoa; Mollusca; Bivalvia; Mytilida; Mytilidae
Source: RNAcentral
GUUUCAAAGGAGAAGAUUUUUUAAAGUAAGUCAACAUGAUUAACAAAUUGUGAAAAAAGUCUUUAAAGGGCAAUAACUCCUUAAGUGGUCAAUUGACAAUUUUGGUCAAUUUGACUUAAUUGAAGAUCUUACUUUGCUGAACAUUAUUGCUGUUUACAGUUUAUUUCUAUCUAUAAUUAUAUUCAAGAUAAUAAACAAAAACAGCAAAAUUUCCUUAAAAUUAUCAAUUCAGGGGCAGCAACCCAACAACAGGUUGUCUGAUUCAUCUGAAAAUUUCAGGGCAGAUAGAUCGUGACCUGAUAAACAAUAUUACCCACGUCAGAUUUGCUCUAAAUGCUUUGGUUUUUGAGUUAUAAGCCAAAAACUGCAUUUGACCCCUAUGUUCUAUUUUAGCAAUGGCGACCAUGUUUGUGAUAGAUCAUAAUUUCGGAAACAAUUUACAAACUAGAUACCAUAAGGAACAUUCAGUUAAAGUUUGGAAGUAUUUGGCCAAGUAGUUUCAGAGGAGAAGAUUUUUGUAAAAGAUUACUAAGAUUUACGAAAAAUGGUUAAAAAUUGACUAUAAAGGGCAAUAACUCCUAAAGGGGUCAACUGACCAUUUCCGUCAUGUUGACUUAUUUGUAAAUCUUACUUUGCUGAACAUUAUUCCUGUUUACAGUUU